This 289-nucleotide long non-coding RNA is filed under the name Elaeis guineensis (African oil palm). Its description in RNAcentral is "long non-coding RNA (EGUI_LNC027248)". Lineage: Eukaryota; Viridiplantae; Streptophyta; Magnoliopsida; Arecales; Arecaceae. The record is from RNAcentral.
UCUCACAAUUUACUAGUGACAUCUAGCAGUAUAUAGUGGUAAUUCAGCAGAAUCGAAAAAGAAUCUCAAGGUAUAAUUUUUGUGUGAUUCAGUCUCUCUAUCGUGACUUCCGACUAGAUCGUAGAUCAUAGAUAAAUCGUCAAACCUCAUCAUCAGUCAUAUGAUAGAUUCGAUUAGCUCAAGUUCAAUUGUGAUUUUCAUGGAAACUCUUUUCCAUCAAUCAUACUGCUGUGGCUACAGAGUUAUGGACUCAACUUUUUAAAUUUUAUAGGACUAUUUUUUUCUAUCA